This 397-nucleotide long non-coding RNA is filed under the name Capra hircus (goat). RNAcentral's name for it is "lncRNA (ENSCHIG00010003575.1)". Lineage: Eukaryota; Metazoa; Chordata; Mammalia; Artiodactyla; Bovidae. The record is from RNAcentral.
GCUGGGAUUGGACCACCUUCCCUGGGAGCGGAGGAUUCCUGAACUAAAGUCCCUGUUUGGUUAACAAGGAAGUGGCCUGGAGAAAAUUUUUGCAUUUUUAAAGAGGAUUAGCUGACUGGAAGGAUUCAGAAAAUACGGAACUUGUUUUUUGAGGAGGGUGAAGAGUUCCCUGAACCCUUCACCCCAAGACUGAAACCGUGCCUGGUAGGUAAAGCGGAUUUUGGAAGGGAAGAUUUAAAAACACGUUUAAUUAAUAAGCACUCGAACUGCAGAACUAGUUCACCCUGCUUCGCACCAAGUGGCCUCAAAGAUCAGAAUGACCUUGGCCGUCCUUAUAUCGGAAUGAAUCCUCACUAGAAAGAAGGGCGAGAAACACCAAAGCUCAACUGAAUUUCCG